ACCUGCACGCCCCGCCGCCGCAGGACGGGAGCCGGGAGGGCAGCGGACGGGCCCGGGCUGCCCGACGGGGCUGCGGGGAGCCGGACGGCGCGAGCUGCGGGGCCUCUGGGAGCCUGGUGGGCGGCGGGCGGGGCCGAAGGCAGAGCCGGGAGCCGCCUGCAGCAGCAGCCUCGCCGCCACGCCCUCGACGCCGGCGAGAGCGGCCCCCUGGGCUGGGACUAGGGCGGUGUCCCGGCUGAGCUAGGCUGCCGGCGCCGCGCGCCCGCCUCGUCCCCUCCUGUUCUGGCAGGGCGCGCGCACGGCGGCGCAGGCGCCAGAGCCCAGGACAAGGCGGGGACCCGGGCGGGGACCGGGGCGGGGGCGCGCGGGGGCCGGGGUGGGGGUGUCUCGCCGCGCGCGCCCUCCUCCCGCUCCUCCGGGUUCCUGGUCCCCAGCCUGUGGGGGGCUUGGGCUGUAGCGCUGGGGCGGGGGCUUUAGAUCACCCCGAAAACAGGACCUCUGGCGACCUUCUCGUUUUCCACCGGGAGCGGAGAGAGCCGAUCUCCUUUUCCUGCUAGCCCCGUAGGACAGUCCCCGGAGCAGCUCAUAGGAAUAUGACGAACGUUUACUCAGGGCUGGUUACUAUGUACACUGCGCCCCGCGCGCGGCGAGUUUACCUCGGUUCACCUCCCGGCAACCGGCGGCCCGGAUAUUAUCAGAUGCUGUGGGCUUCCCGGCGCCUCAUUGCCCGAGGAGAGGCGGCCGCAGGUAGCUGAGCUGGAGCUAGCACAAGACCUACUCUCCACCCUUUUCCUUCCUGAUUUGAACCUCAAGAGGCCAACCUGCAUGGACUGCUUCCACAGAUCCCUUGUCCUCUGACUUACAGUUGAAUUCACCAAAUAGAAGACAUUGGAAAUGAGACCCGAGGGUUGGAGGAGGAGGAAGCCUGCAAUGUGAACACGAUGGCUGGAGCUCCGGCAGCCAUUCUGGACCAGGAGGUAGCCUUGAAGAUGGAAGCCACAUGUUGGGAUGGUGAAUCCAAAAGAUGAGGAGCCUGUAUCCCCUGUGACACCAGAACUGCCAUACCAGCCCUGGGUUCCUCCAUCUAUACUGCCUUCAUAUGGUAAAGAAAUAUUCUUGGAUCUUGUUAGGUGUCUGUUGCAGCCAAACACAAUCCCAACUGAUAUUCACUGUAAAUGAUUCCAUGGCUCCCUGUAGUACUUCUACAAAGCAUCUAUCACAAUUGUAAUUAAUAAAAUAAUUAUGCAA
Molecule: long non-coding RNA, 1248 nt
Filed under: Homo sapiens (human)
Lineage: Eukaryota; Metazoa; Chordata; Mammalia; Primates; Hominidae
Description: non-protein coding RCAN3AS:14
Source: RNAcentral